RNAcentral lists this ribosomal RNA (511 nucleotides) under uncultured bacterium. RNAcentral describes it as "bacterial SSU rRNA". It matches the Rfam family "Bacterial small subunit ribosomal RNA", at positions 29 to 526 of the family's 1533-position model. The record is from RNAcentral.
AAUGAACGCUGGCGGCGGGUCUUAAGCAUGCAAGUCGGACGGCAAGGGAGUGCUUGCACUCCCCUAGAGUGGCGGACUGGUGAGGAACACGUUGGUGACGUACCCUUUGGAUGGGGAUAGCCGGUAGAAAUACCGGGUAAUACCGAAUAAGGUCGGUGGUCUCGGAAGCCACCGAGGAAAGCAGCUUCGGCUGCGCCGAAGGAACGGCCUGCGUCCCAUCAGCUUGUUGGCGGGGUAAAAGCCCACCAAGGCAAUGACGGGUAUCUGGCCUGAGAGGGUGAGCAGACACAUUGGGACUGAGAUACGGCCCAGACUCCUACGGGAGGCAGCAGCUAAGAAUAUUCCACAAUGGGCGAAAGCCUGAUGGAGCAACGCCGCGUGGACGAUGAAGGCCGGAAGGUUGUAAAGUCCUUUAGCAAGUGAGGAAUAAGCGGGACAGGGAAUGGUCUCGUGGUGACUGUAGCUUGAGAAUAAGGGUCGGCUAAUUACGUGCCAGCAGCCGCCGUAAAAC